CCUAUCCCUGUGUGCCUUGCUCCCACGACUAUUUCAGGGCUUAACCCUGAACCUGCAUUGGAAACUGUCGAACUAGAGUGUCGGAGAGGAAAGUGGAAUUCCUAGUGUAGCGGUGAAAUGCGUAGAUAUUAGGAAGAACACCAGUGGCGAAGGCGACUUUCUGGACGAAAACUGACGCUGAGGCGAAAGCCAGGGGAGCGAACGGGAUUAGAUACCCCGGUAGUCCUGGCCGUAAACGAUGGGUACUAGGUGUCGACGCGGCCG
RNAcentral lists this ribosomal RNA (264 nucleotides) under uncultured bacterium. RNAcentral's name for it is "partial 16S ribosomal RNA". It matches the Rfam family "Bacterial small subunit ribosomal RNA", at positions 568 to 834 of the family's 1533-position model. The record is from RNAcentral.